This 457-nucleotide long non-coding RNA is filed under the name Camelus dromedarius (Arabian camel). Its description in RNAcentral is "lncRNA (ENSCDRG00005017671.1)". The record is from RNAcentral. Lineage: Eukaryota; Metazoa; Chordata; Mammalia; Artiodactyla; Camelidae.
GACUGUUAUUAGCUGAUAUCUACAAAGAUAACCAGUUUUUGUUGUCAGGUCAGGUAGAAGGAUUUUAUGUGUGCCAUGAAGGUUCAACACCAGUGCUUCUUCCUUUGCAAGAUUCUCACUGCUGUAUUCCAUGGUGAUACAGUGGGGACAGCCCAGAGCAGUUUUGAUGUGGUUUAAAUACCAUCCUGUUGUCUCUCAACCGAUUCUCUGCUCCAUAUCACAACCAAAGUCUAGACCCUUUUCCUCUUCUUUAGGACCCUCACCUUUUCCUCAGAUGCCAGUGAAUUCUCCAACUCAAUCAUUCAUUCACCUCAUCUUAGAAGAAUUUCUGGAUUUUCCAAGGAAGCAUCAGAUGUACAGACCAAUUUACUCUGAGCUACUAUUUUUUUUCUCAUCCCAGAUCAAUCGUCUUCAUCUAAGGAUGGGGAAAUGUAAUUCUACACAGCACCCAGGAUGA